Molecule: long non-coding RNA, 397 nt
Organism: Lycium barbarum (goji berry)
Lineage: Eukaryota; Viridiplantae; Streptophyta; Magnoliopsida; Solanales; Solanaceae
Exons: 4
Source: RefSeq, a predicted model, not a curated record
UUUGGUAACCAUACGUAGCAGUAAUUUUAGGUGGCGCUUUCCUAAUAUAUUUGUAGCCGUGCAUAUUUCUGUUGAUAGAGAGAGAAUUCUGAUUUGUCUUGAUUGAAACAGACUACUAUUCACAUAUAUCACUAACGAUGGUUCCAGCAACUGCAGAAUCAAUCAAGCCUAGAGGAUAACUUUGCAGUUCAAAGUUUUGAACGCGGUAUUGCUGCACAGGAAGCUGGUGCUUUUACAUGGGAAAUUGUGCCGGUUGAGGUGCCCGGUGGAAGAGGAAAACCAUCCACCAUUGUUGAUAAGGAUGAAGGUUUAGGGAAGUUUGAUGGUGCAAAAUUGAGGAAACUCCGACCAAGUUUCAAGGAAAAAGAUGGUACUGUGACUGCUGGUAACGCUUCUA